AUGGCCAUAUCAUGUUGAAUCAUUGGUUCUCAUAUGAUCACCAAAGUUAAGCAAUUGAGUUUGAUCAGUACCUAGAUGGGUGACCACUUGGGAAUAGCAGGUGCUGUAAG
Acanthosepion pharaonis is the source of this 110-nucleotide non-coding RNA. NCBI's taxonomy places the organism in Eukaryota, Metazoa, Mollusca, Cephalopoda, Sepiida, Sepiidae. The record is from the annotation of a GenBank genome assembly.